UGCCAAAUGCAAAAAUAAGGACCAGAACCAAACAGGGAGCCCCUGUAAGAAAUGUGCAGAAAGAAGGUAAAAGCCAGGGGAGGGGUGUCCCAGACCAGAAGGCAUGAAGGACUAGAGGGUGAAGAAAGGAAAAAUGUAGAGGGAGAGAGGGAGAAUUCCAAGGCCCUGGUGUCUUACACCUCUCUGGGUUUUGAAAUCAAUAAAUAGGUAUUGAGUAUCUAUAACUCUGAUUCUCAGGGGUACUUGUGUUCCUUGGGUGUAAGAUAGUAUGCCAGGGAUACAAAAGAUGGGAUACAAUUAGUCCGUUUUCCUGCUGCUCCAGUGUUAUAAGUAGAACUUGAGGAGUAUGAGGUUGGGGAAGAAGAGGAUCAUUUUAUAUCGAAACCAAUACCAAUAUAGAGUCGAUAAUAAAUUUCGUAUGAUUACAAAAA
Molecule: long non-coding RNA, 431 nt
Organism: Homo sapiens (human)
Lineage: Eukaryota; Metazoa; Chordata; Mammalia; Primates; Hominidae
Source: Ensembl